Molecule: ribosomal RNA, 735 nt
Filed under: uncultured Fusobacterium sp.
Lineage: Bacteria; Fusobacteriati; Fusobacteriota; Fusobacteriia; Fusobacteriales; Fusobacteriaceae
Description: bacterial SSU rRNA
Rfam family: Bacterial small subunit ribosomal RNA
Source: RNAcentral
GAUGAACGCUGACAGAAUGCUUAACACAUGCAAGUCAACUUGAAUUUGGGUUUUUAACUUAGAUUUGGGUGGCGAACGGGUGAGUAACGCGUAAAGAACUUGCCUCACAGCUAGGGACAACAUUUAGAAAUGAAUGCUAAUACCUGAUAUUAUGAUUUUAAGGCAUCUUAGAAUUAUGAAAGCUAUAAGCACUGUGAGAGAGCUUUGCGUCCCAUUAGCUAGUUGGAGAGGUAACAGCUCACCAAGGCGAUGAUGGGUAGCCGGCCUGAGAGGGUGAACGGCCACAAGGGGACUGAGACACGGCCCUUACUCCUACGGGAGGCAGCAGUGGGGAAUAUUGGACAAUGGACCGAGAGUCUGAUCCAGCAAUUCUGUGUGCACGAUGAAGUUUUUCGGAAUGUAAAGUGCUUUCAGUUGGGAAGAAAUAAAUGACGGUACCAACAGAAGAAGUGACGGCUAAAUACGUGCCAGCAGCCGCGGUAAUACGUAUGUCACGAGCGUUAUCCGGAUUUAUUGGGCGUAAAGCGCGUCUAGGUGGUUAUGUAAGUCUGAUGUGAAAAUGCAGGGCUCAACUCUGUAUUGCGUUGGAAACUGUAUAACUAGAGUACUGGAGAGGUAAGCGGAACUACAAGUGUAGAGGUGAAAUUCGUAGAUAUUUGUAGGAAUGCCGAUGGGGAAGCCAGCUUACUGGACAGAUACUGACGCUGAAGCGCGAAAGCGUGGGUAGCAAACAGG